UACGAAGGGGGCUAGCGUUGCUCGGAAUCACUGGGCGUAAAGCGCACGUAGGCGGACUCUUAAGUCGGUGGUGAAAUCCUGGAGCUCAACUCCAGAACUGCCUUCGAUACUGAGAGUCUUGAGUCCGGGAGAGGUGAGUGGAAUUCCUAGUGUAGAGGUGAAAUUCGUAGAUAUUAGGAAGAACACCAGUGGCGAAGGCGGCUCACUGGCCCGGUACUGACGCUCAUGUGCGAAAGCGUGGGGAGCAAACAGG
Molecule: ribosomal RNA, 253 nt
Filed under: uncultured bacterium
Lineage: Bacteria
Description: partial 16S ribosomal RNA
Rfam family: Bacterial small subunit ribosomal RNA
Source: RNAcentral